Molecule: long non-coding RNA, 394 nt
Filed under: Nicotiana benthamiana
Lineage: Eukaryota; Viridiplantae; Streptophyta; Magnoliopsida; Solanales; Solanaceae
Description: long non-coding RNA (NBEN_LNC037552)
Source: RNAcentral
GGAAUUGCUGCCAAGGAUUGGGAAUCAGUUGCCAGAAAGGAGAAGAUAGAGGUUGGACCUGAUUUUGUUGCCCUUUCAGCUUCAGAUCUUUGCUUGUAAGAUAAUUGUCUGGGGACCUGAUUCUGCCCCUUUCAGCUUCUGAUCUUUGCUUGUAACAUAAUUUGUCUGAAACUAAAGUGUGCUCAUUUGAAGAAAGUGCAAACCCAUUAGGGAGAAAAGGGGACUAAACUUUAGGAAUUGGAAGCAUGAUUUACAAACGAGUUAAAAUGGCUAUAGCUUAGUAGAAAUAGAAAUUUCUGACCAAAGCUUGUGUUUUAACUUGCUUAAGCUUGGGCUGUAUAGGUGUUAUCUCUACCUGUGCAAUUGAUACUUCCCUAAAGGAUUAUAUGUUGGC